CUGACCCUUUUCGUUGUGGGGUCCGGAGUGGGAACGGUGGGGGACAACGGGGGACCCUCCGUCACCGUGAACUCAUCGACCCUAAAAACCCACCGUCCCGGGACCCCAAUGUUGGACGUCCUAUUGAUGUGAAGCACGGCGGGGGUCCGCGAACCCGGGAUGUUGUAAUAGUGCACGUCGUCCCCGCUGUUAAAGCCGGCCUGUGCCGGGACGCCCCCCAGCCCGCUGUGUGGGUCCCCCUGGUUGGCGAUGCCGGUGGUCCAUUGGAUGUCCCCGUAGUUGAGGAUGAUGAAGGAGGCGACGCCGUCCGUGGCCAACACGGCCUGGAAGGUGUUGGUCUUCUUGGACGCGGCCCCAAAGAACGGCACCCGAUCCCACGUGGCGACGAAAGCCCACGUGGGUAUGGGGGCGCCAUCCGUGGGGGGGUGGGGGGCGACGAUGGGGGCGAUGUCGCGCGCCACCCCCCUCAGCAGCUCCUCCGAACGGCUCUCCCUAUAGAAGACGUCCCCCCCCAAGCGGGUAUCCACGUCGGCCCAAUAUGGGGCCACGAAAGGUCGACGGCCGGGUAAUGGGAACGGGUGUGGGGUGAACUCGGGGACCCCCGUCCCGAAUGAGACCACCCCGUUGUUGUUCACAUAUAGGUCCGUAUAGGAUUGUCCGUAGAAGGAGAACUUCUCCGAGAGGGGAAUUUUGGGGCUCAUCCCGUCGUCCUCAUGGGGGGUGGCCGCGUCUCCGACCCCCGGACCAAAGGGGUACAGCACCGCCGCCCUCUGGGAGUUGGCCGUGGGCACAGCGCCGCUCUCCGUGUGUCCGAAGAUGAGGAGGAGGACGAGGAUGGGGACAGCCUUCAUCUGCUCACACCGCAG
This 866-nucleotide unclassified non-coding RNA is filed under the name Hevea brasiliensis (rubber tree). The record is from RNAcentral. Lineage: Eukaryota; Viridiplantae; Streptophyta; Magnoliopsida; Malpighiales; Euphorbiaceae.